Vespa mandarinia (Asian giant hornet) is the source of this 1051-nucleotide long non-coding RNA. NCBI's taxonomy places the organism in Eukaryota, Metazoa, Arthropoda, Insecta, Hymenoptera, Vespidae. The record is from RefSeq and is a predicted model, not a curated record.
ACAAUAAUAUUACUGUGAUUCUGAUCUAAAUUAAUUUGAAAUUGUUUUAAUAGACUUUUCUAAAGGAUUUAUAGGAACGUGUACUCCUUAAAAGGUUAUAUACAAAAUGAGUACACAGACUUCUUGCGGCUACAUACUUAAUACUCAUGGAUAUAAUAGUUUAAUCGAAAAUGUUUGUGUCGACAAUCAAAUUAUUGAUGCUUUCGCAUAAAUCUGUUUUUUUUUUUUUCCAAAUUUGUAAUAGCAUGCAAUUUAUUGUUAUAUUUUGAAUGAAUAUGCAUGGGUUUGUAGCAUAUGUUAAUGGUGAAGAAACAAUAAAACUGUAUAAAAAAAGAAUUUACAAUUAUUAUAAGGAAUAAAGCAUUGGUAAGAAUUUUCUCAUUAACUAAUUAUGACAAACAACUCCACGUUUCUUUUAUAUAAACAAUUUAUCCUUGAUUUAAAUGAAUAAUAUUGAUGGAACAUGCAAAUACGAUUUCUCUAGAAAUAAAAUUAACAAUAGAGAAAGCACACAUAAUCCGAGAAAUAUCAUUUAUUAUGCCCAUAAUUUAAAUAUUAUCGUCAUAAAUAAGUAUUUUAAAGAAGAUUAAAUAAAAAUUACUCUAUUGAAGACAUUUUCUAAAGUAAUUUUAAAAAUUAAGAUGUUCGGCAAAAAGCCAAUACUUUUGAUUUUUGUUGUUGUUACUUGAAAAUUUCGUAAUUUACAAUUUAACUUUAAUGUUAUAUUUAAUGAAUAAAAAUGUUUUUCACGUUCGAAAAUGCGAUACGUACUGGCGGCGAAAGUUUACGAUGAAAAGUCGUCGACAAAUGUUGUAUUGUGCAAGAGAAAAUUCAUGUCGAUAUUGAAUCAUUAUGUGCAAUAUUAUCAUUAUUAUUAGUAUUAUUAAAUUUCAAUAGAAAGACAAGAAAAAUAAAUGAAAAACGCAAAAGAAUCUUCAUAUAUCACUGCUUUCAACUAAUUUACACGGACUUAUCGACAUCCCUAUCGGUAAAUCCAUUUAGGAACUAUUAUGUAUAAAUUAAACAACGAGCGACGUUAAACAAAAAAAAA